GGGGAUUUAGCUCAGCGGCAUAAGCACCUGCCUUGCAAGCAGGCGAUAAAAAAAAAGUACAAAUCCUCG
RNAcentral lists this transfer RNA (69 nucleotides) under Cavia porcellus (domestic guinea pig). It matches the Rfam family "tRNA". Rfam says of the family: Transfer RNA (tRNA) molecules are approximately 80 nucleotides in length. Lineage: Eukaryota; Metazoa; Chordata; Mammalia; Rodentia; Caviidae. The record is from Rfam by way of RNAcentral.